This 208-nucleotide long non-coding RNA is filed under the name Solanum tuberosum (potato). RNAcentral's name for it is "long non-coding RNA (STUB_LNC009894)". Lineage: Eukaryota; Viridiplantae; Streptophyta; Magnoliopsida; Solanales; Solanaceae. The record is from RNAcentral.
AAAAAAAUCAAUUAUUUUUACCUAAAAUAUAAGCAUAUAUGUAUAAACAACUAUCAUGCUGGCAUAUUACACAUCUUUAUUACUAAAAAUGAAUUUAUUUACCCCUAAAACUGACAUGACAAAAAAAUAAUAACAAGAAAACAUAAUCACGUGCAUCAAAAAAAUUAAAGUUAAAAAAAAUAAUAAAAAAUCAAAAUAUUCCUUACCC